Molecule: unclassified non-coding RNA, 355 nt
Filed under: soil metagenome
Description: partial contains 5.8S ribosomal RNA, internal transcribed spacer 2, and large subunit ribosomal RNA
Rfam family: 5.8S ribosomal RNA (bases 1-120)
Source: RNAcentral
GAUGAAGAACGCAGCAAAAUGCGAUAAGUAAUGUGAAUUGCAGAAUUCAGUGAAUCAUCGAAUCUUUGAACGCACAUUGCGCCCAUUAGUAUUCUAGUGGGCAUGCCUGUUCGAGCGUCAUUAAGUCCACUUAAGCCCUGCUUAGUGUUGGGAGACUGCUCCAGCGGUGCUACCCUGUAGCUACCCUGCAGCUCCUCAAAGACAGCGGCGGAGUUGUGGUAUCCUCUGAGCUUAGUAACUUGUUCUAGCUUUCGAGUACACCACUUCCCCUGCCGUAAAACCCUUAAUUUUUAAUGGUUGACCUCGGAUCAGGUAGGAAUACCCGCUGAACUUAAGCAUAUCAAUAAGCGGAGGA